GACGAACGCUGGCGGCGUGCCUAAUACAUGCAAGUCGAACGAGAGCGACCGGUGCUUGCACUGGUCAAUCUAGUGGCGAACGGGUGAGUAACACGUGGGUAACCUGCCCAUCAGAGGGGGAUAACAUCCGGAAACGGAUGCUAAAACCGCAUAGGUCUUCGAACCGCAUGGUUUGAAGAGGGAAAGAGGCGCAAGCUUCUGCUGAUGGAUGGACCCGCGGUGCAUUAGCUAGUUGGUGAGGUAACGGCUCACCAAGGCCGUGAUGCAUAGCCGACCUGAGAGGGUGAUCGGCCACAUUGGGACUGAGACACGGCCCAAACUCCUACGGGAGGCAGCAGUAGGGAAUCUUCCGCAAUGGACGCAAGUCUGACGGAGCAACGCCGCGUGAGUGAAGAAGGUUUUCGGAUCGUAAAACUCUGUUGUUAGAGAAGAACAAGUGCUAGAGUAACUGUUAGCGCCUUGACGGUAUCUAACCAGAAAGCCACGGCUAACUACGUG
Molecule: ribosomal RNA, 498 nt
Filed under: uncultured bacterium
Lineage: Bacteria
Description: partial 16S ribosomal RNA
Rfam family: Bacterial small subunit ribosomal RNA
Source: RNAcentral